Molecule: ribosomal RNA, 585 nt
Filed under: Filobasidium oeirense
Lineage: Eukaryota; Fungi; Basidiomycota; Tremellomycetes; Filobasidiales; Filobasidiaceae
Description: eukaryotic LSU rRNA
Rfam family: Eukaryotic large subunit ribosomal RNA
Source: RNAcentral
AAGGAUUCCCCUAGUAACGGCGAGUGAAGCGGGAAGAGCUCAAAUUUGAAAUCUGGUGGCCUCAGGUCAUCCGAGUUGUAAUCUAUAGAAGUGUUUUCCGUGCUGGCUCAUGUACAAGUCCCUUGGAACAGGGCGUCAUAGAGGGUGAGAAUCCCGUCCUUGACAUGAACUACCAGUGCUCUGUGAUACAUUUUCAACGAGUCGAGUUGUUUGGGAAUGCAGCUCAAAAUGGGUGGUAAAUUCCAUCUAAAGCUAAAUAUUGGCGAGAGACCGAUAGCGAACAAGUACCGUGAGGGAAAGAUGAAAAGCACUUUGGAAAGAGAGUUAAACAGUAUGUGAAAUUGUUGAAAGGGAAACGAUUGAAGUCAGUCGUGCUCUUUGGAUUCAGCCGGUUCUGCCGGUGUACUUCCUUUGAGUGGGGUCAACAUCAGUUUUGAUCGCUGGAUAAAGGCAGGAGGAACGUAGUACCCUCGGGUAAACUUAUAGCCUCUUGUCACAUACAGUGGUUGGGACUGAGGAACGCAGCACGCCUUUAUGGCCGGGAUUCGUCCACGUACGUGCUUAGGAUGUUGACAUAAUGGCUUU